This 504-nucleotide ribosomal RNA is filed under the name uncultured bacterium. RNAcentral describes it as "partial 16S ribosomal RNA". It matches the Rfam family "Bacterial small subunit ribosomal RNA", at positions 30 to 523 of the family's 1533-position model. The record is from RNAcentral.
AUUGAACGCUGGCGGCAUGCCUUACACAUGCAAGUCGAACGGCAGCAUGGAGAGCUUGCUCUCUGAUGGCGAGUGGCGAACGGGUGAGUAAUGCAUCGGAACGUACCGUGUAAUGGGGGAUAACGUAGCGAAAGUUACGCUAAUACCGCAUACGACCUGAGGGUGAAAGCAGGGGAUCGCAAGACCUUGCGUUAUACGAGCGGCCGAUGUCAGAUUAGCUAGUUGGUGAGGUAAAGGCUCACCAAGGCGACGAUCUGUAGCGGGUCUGAGAGGAUGCUCCGCCACACUGGGACUGAGACACGGCCUAGACUCCUACGGGAGGCAGCAGUGGGGAAUUUUGGACAAUGGGGGAAACCCUGAUCCAGCCAUGCCGAGUGAGUGAAGAAGGCCUUCGGGUUGUAAAGCUCUUUCGGCCGGGAAGAAAUCGCACAGGCUAAUACUCUGUGUGGAUGACGGUACCGGCAUAAGAAGCACCGGCUAACUACGUGCCAGCCGCCGCCGUAA